Molecule: long non-coding RNA, 274 nt
Filed under: Actinidia chinensis (golden kiwifruit)
Lineage: Eukaryota; Viridiplantae; Streptophyta; Magnoliopsida; Ericales; Actinidiaceae
Description: long non-coding RNA (ACHI_LNC000578)
Source: RNAcentral
CAAAGCUUCAUUCGAUGUGAUUAGGUUGUGUGUAUAUGUAUUUGAAGUGAGAAGACGAAAGUAUCAACACAAUUAGGCUCUUAGCAAGCCAUUUCAAAGAGGAACUACGAGAGAGAUGCAUAGAAUUCAAAGAAAUCGAGUUUGAUUUGAAUCAAAAGAUUCACAGCAGUGUACAUGUAUCAAGUAUGUAUAUAAACUUAUAUGCAUGUUUAUAUGAAGAGAGAGAGAAACGGGGGGGAGGAGUUUGAUUGAAUCACGAAAUUAUUAGCGAUGC